CUUUGAUGUGGGUUUUGGAAGAAUUUGGAGGCAGCAGCUCUGGACUGCAAAAGGAGGCUUGCUUACAGAACCAACGGUCUCUUGAUGGACACCUUUGAGUGGGACAUAUACAUAUAUAUGUGUCCCAAAUUCAAGGAGCAAAUUCUGCAGGGAUUUCUACAGCGAGCAAAAACCUACUGUGUGGUUCUGGGCCAAGAUCAAUGGUUGCAUUGCUGCUGCUGAGACUCUGCAGAGAUUCCCUGCUGAAGGAGUCUUCUUUGGGACUUAUCUCUUGGCUCAGUCUACCAUGAGAGGCAUCGAAGGUAUAAAACUGGUGGGUGGUCAUGAGGAGGAAACAGCAAGAAGUUUGGAGGACAAGAUUAAGAUAAACAUGCUGGAGUAACAGUCUACAAAAAGUUGGGAGAAAUUUACUAAGGGCUUUUGCAGUGUGCUACCCUUUGGAAUAAUUAGCUGCACAAUCACAAGGGGAAGGAACUCUUGCUUAGAAAAUACUGAAGAAAAGCUUAUGGUAAUGGUAUUGGAUACUACACUAAAUGUGAACCCACACUGUUCUGCUAUUCAAAAAUAAUUUAUAAAUAGCAUUACAUUGUUAUGUAUAAUAGGACAUUGGCAGAACUUAUAUAUCGUGUUUGGGCCACUGAAUUUAAAGAAAAAUGGGAUAAACAGCAGAAUCAAAAAGGUAAGAAAAGCAGAGGAAAAAAGAGCACUUACAAGCCUACUGAGAGCAGGAGAAGAGGAAAGUUUAUUUGCAUUGAGAGAGAUUCAGGCUAGAGGUUAGGAAAUUACUUUCCUGAAAGUGAGUGAGGUAGGUAACCUCAUCUAAUGCCUGGGGAAUGUUGUGGAGAUCUCUGCUGCUGGAAGCCUCUGUGAGCGAAGCUAUGUGGAUGUCUCUAGCAGAAGUGAUUGGUCUUACCAGGGAUUAUAUGACCUGUUGAGACCUUCUUAAUGUGUUGUCUUGAUUUCUGGAAAGUUUUAUUUGAAGGAAAAAUAACCCAAACAACCCAGAGCAAGAAAAUCUAUCUAUGAUUCAACCAAAAUUUUUAUAGAGCAGUGUUCCUCAGUAAUAUGUAAUGUCGCCUUUUAAUAUGAGAUUGCUUCUGGGAUUUCUUACUCAUCUGUUUACCAAUUACUAUCAUUAUUCUGAUAUUUUUUUCCUAGUGGAAAGCAGAACAAAAACUACCGUACAUUAUGAGCUUUCUUAAGGGAAAUGUCAAAAGUGUCAUUCAUUUGGGAAAUUUAAAUGCCGAGUCCUUUCCUUGGACUUCU
Hirundo rustica (Barn swallow) is the source of this 1266-nucleotide long non-coding RNA. RefSeq lists it as uncharacterized. The transcript is spliced from 3 exons. Lineage: Eukaryota; Metazoa; Chordata; Aves; Passeriformes; Hirundinidae. The record is from RefSeq and is a predicted model, not a curated record.